UGGGACGAUGUGGACCCAGGAGGACCUAAAAUCAUGGCCAAGAGACCUCUGCACCACAUGCUGACUCUGCAUCCAUUGAGGGUGUUGGACCAUAUCCCCUGAAGAUAAGGCGGGGCGACUGCACGUGGAUUGAGAGGUGCCCUCACUGCUGCAGACCUGUGGUAACAACACUCACCUGUGCUUCCCAGACAAGACUCUAUCGGGUCGUGAGCCCCCAACAGCCAGUGCUACUGCUAUCCAAUCUGACAGAUGGAAACCAGCGCCAAUCAGCCUGCCUGGAGCGGUGCAAAUAAGCCUAAGACUCAAACUUUCAGCCAGUUAACUGAACACACAGCCCAGCACUUCAGCUGCAGCCCUCCACUGCUCCCUCAAGCACAGCUCAAGCCUGAGGGACCACGCCCACCUGUGCAUCAGCAUAGCCACGUCUGCCCAUGGACCACCAUGACACACCCAGGGACUGCUGACCAGGCC
This is a long non-coding RNA of Gorilla gorilla gorilla (western lowland gorilla), 471 nucleotides long. RefSeq lists it as uncharacterized. The record is from RefSeq and is a predicted model, not a curated record. The transcript is spliced from 3 exons. NCBI's taxonomy places the organism in Eukaryota, Metazoa, Chordata, Mammalia, Primates, Hominidae.